CCCCACCAGGGGAAUAGCCCGCCGAAAGGCGGAUUAAUGCCCCAUAGGCCCAGGGCGCCGCAUGGCGCUAUGGGUAAAGCUCCGGCGGAUGGGGAUGGGCAUGCGUGCCAUUAGCUAGUUGGGGCGGUAACGGCGCACCAAGGCGACGAUGGCUAGGGGGUCUGAGAGGAUGGUCCCCCACACUGGUACUGAGACACGGACCAGACUCCUACGGGAGGCAGCAGUGAGGAAUAUUGGUCAAUGGGCGGAAGCCUGAACCAGCCAUGCCCGCGUGCAGGAUGACGGCCCUACGGGUUGUAAACUGCUUUUCCCCGGGAAGAAUAAGCCCCUCGUGAGGGGUGAUGCCGGUACCGGGGGAAUAAGGAUCGGCUAACUCCGUGCCAGCAGCAGC
This 391-nucleotide ribosomal RNA is filed under the name uncultured bacterium. RNAcentral describes it as "bacterial SSU rRNA". It matches the Rfam family "Bacterial small subunit ribosomal RNA", at positions 130 to 518 of the family's 1533-position model. The record is from RNAcentral.